RNAcentral lists this long non-coding RNA (1723 nucleotides) under Dromaius novaehollandiae (emu). Its description in RNAcentral is "lncRNA (ENSDNVG00000001306.1)". Lineage: Eukaryota; Metazoa; Chordata; Aves; Casuariiformes; Dromaiidae. The record is from RNAcentral.
CCCGCCGAUUGGUGACAGCGCAGCCGGUGAGGGCGGGCGUUGCUGGGGGCGAUGCGGGCGGCAGUGUGGACGGCGCGCUCGGCGCUGCUGUACUCGGUGGGCGGUUGGACGAUGCUGGGGGCCCUGCUCCACCACACCCAGACCAGCGGCGGCGGCGGAGGCGGGGGGCCCGAGAAGGAAAGUGAUCCUGAGGCAAGCCAAACAGCCCGAAGAGAAGUAAUUACUACCAAUACACCUAUAGGCAUACAAAUCACAACAGUGGUGACGUACCAGGAGAAGCCUGAAACUCCUCUGGCUCGACUGUGCCAGCGUGUGAAAUUAUUCUUUGAUUCCCUUGAUGAUGGUUCUUCUAAAAAUUAAUGCGGUCUGGAAACUUGGAAUUUUGUGCUGAUGCAGAGGAGAGCUGGCUUAUCCAAGAAGUUCAUCUUGAUACGUGAUAUCAGAAUGCCAGUGGAAAACUUUCUCUUGCAUCGUUGAAACAACAGGUCCAUAUCCGAAAUAACUUUGCAAAGCUUUGCAGAUCUUCUCAUCUGCUCAAAUCAAUGGCUUUCUUUGCACAUGUAUUCAAAUUAUUAAACAUGAACUGUCUUCAACUAAAUGUUGUAAGAGGUGUUAAUGAAACUGCAUGCUACCUGGUGUCCGGUGUCCGACAAACAGUGGCUGUUGCUGCAUUUUUUUGAAAUGGAUUUGUUGGUGUGCAGGACCUACAUGGGUGAUCUGGAAUCUGUCUACUGAUUCAGUUCCUCAACUGGUUGUUUGGGAACAACUGGUAAACUGGAAGGAAUGUGUUUGAUCUUUGGGGUAUUAGAAUUGUAUUGUCCUUCAAAACUUUACAAGGUGAAUGAUUUUGGUGAAACAUGAAUUACAAAGGUAGAAAUGCUAUUGCUGGAAGCACUUGCAUUGUAAAUUCAGUAACACUAUUGGUUUCUGUAACAUUUUAAGAACACAGCUAACAUACCUGAAAAUGUAUUAAGUUGCCAAGGAAAGAUGUUCUUUCAAUUGCAAGCCUGGAGAAUUUUCUGAAAGACAUCAAAGAAGCUUUGCACUUUUUUUCUUGGUUUUGUAACAUAGUCCUAAUUCAGCCCCUCCUGUAUCAAUGAUGACAGUAGUAAUGAAGAUCCAGGACAACAGACUUCUAUUGUAAAUAGAACAGGUUUAGUUGUAAGCAUGCAUUAACUUGGGAAAAAAAAGUUACAGUCACAGUGCUUUUUCUCUUGUCUUUACAAUCGCCUUGAGCAUGUACAGGUGAGUGAAUAAGGUACAAAUUACUGAGAAAUGACAGGAAGACAACUAKUUUAAGAAUUCAGUGGCUGAAAUAACCUUUCAGAUGAUAAUUUAUCAUGAGGCAAAAGUUUUCAGUAGUGGUUCCCAAUCUAUUUGAUAAGGCAGACCUUGUAACUACCACUGCUUCCUUUUCCUUAGCUGCUUCAUCUUCCAGAUGUUGCCACUGUGUACCGGUGGCAGCUUUUGACAAGGAACRCAAGCUAGUUAGUUGGGCAGAACUUAACAGCUUUCACUGUACCUCGCCCCUGGCUUUUGAUGUUAACAAGUCUCACUAGCCAGUUAUGUCUCACUGAUUCUCUAUUUACUAGCCUGUGGUAGUGGUGUAGUAGUGUACAUGAUGCAGGGCUAUUACGGUACUAGCACUUUAUGAAAAUUAAGAAGGAAAACAUAUCAUAAAGCUAAAAAUAAAGUUUAUCUUUUUUUUGAGUAUUAACUGAGU